UGCANGUCGAGGGGUNACAUAGCUGCUUGCAGCAGAUGACGACCGGCGCACGGGUGCGUAACGCGUAUGAAACCUGCCUUUUACAAGGGGAUAGCCCGAAGAAAUUUGGAUUAAUACCCUAUAGUUCUUAUAAUCUGCAUGGAUAGUAAGAUAAAGUUUCGGCGGUAAAAGAUGGUCAUGCGUGACAUUAGAUAGUUGGUGGGGUAAUGGCUCACCAAGUCGACGAUGUCUAGGGGUUCUGAGAGGAAGGUCCCCCACACUGGUACUGAGACACGGACCAGACUCCUACGGGAGGCAGCAGUGAGGAAUAUUGGUCAAUGGGCGAAAGCCUGAACCAGCCAUGUCGCGUGAAGGAAGACGGUUCUAUGGAUUGUAAACUUCUUUUAUGCAGGAAUAAUGUGGGUUACGUGUAACCUUUUGAAUGUACUGUAUGAAUAAGCAUCGGCUAACUCCGUGCCAGCAGCCGCGGUAAUACGGAGGAUGCGAGCGUUAUCCGGAUUUAUUGGGUUUAAAGGGUGCGUAGGCGGACUGAUAAGUCAGGGGUGAAAUCUUGCGGCUCAACCGUAAAACUGCCUUUGAUACUGUUAGUCUUGAAUUUAAUUGAGGUAUGCGGAAUGUGUUGUGUAGCGGUGAAAUGCAUAGAUAUAACACAGAACACCGAUUGCGAANGCAGCAUACUAAGUUAUAAUUGACGCUGAUGCACGAAAGCGUGGGUAGCGAACANGAUUAGAUACCCUGGUAGUCCACGCCGUAAACGACNANUNCUCGUUGUUGGCUAUAUACUGUCAGUGACUGANCGAAAGCNUUAAGUANUCCACCUGGGGAGUACGUUGGCAACAAUGAAACUCA
RNAcentral lists this ribosomal RNA (849 nucleotides) under uncultured bacterium. RNAcentral's name for it is "bacterial SSU rRNA". It matches the Rfam family "Bacterial small subunit ribosomal RNA", at positions 56 to 903 of the family's 1533-position model. The record is from RNAcentral.